CACCAGGUUGAUUCUGCCUGACGU
This 24-nucleotide ribosomal RNA is filed under the name Vairimorpha ceranae. RNAcentral describes it as "Nosema ceranae partial small subunit ribosomal RNA". Lineage: Eukaryota; Fungi; Microsporidia; Nosematidae. The record is from RNAcentral.